Molecule: ribosomal RNA, 253 nt
Filed under: uncultured bacterium
Lineage: Bacteria
Description: partial 16S ribosomal RNA
Rfam family: Bacterial small subunit ribosomal RNA
Source: RNAcentral
UACAGAGGUCUCAAGCGUUGUUCGGAUUCACUGGGCGUAAAGGGUGCGUAGGCGGUCGGGCAAGUCUGAUGUGAAAUCUCACAGCUUAACUGUGAAACUGCAUUGGAUACUAUCCGGCUCGAGGAAUGGAGGGGAGACUGGAAUACUUGGUGUAGCAGUGAAAUGCGUAGAUAUUGGGAGGAACACCAGUGGCGAAGGCGGCUCACUGGACCGGAACUGACGCUGAGGCGCGAAAGCGUGGGGAGCAAACGGG